RNAcentral lists this ribosomal RNA (200 nucleotides) under uncultured bacterium. Its description in RNAcentral is "partial 16S ribosomal RNA". It matches the Rfam family "Bacterial small subunit ribosomal RNA", at positions 8 to 226 of the family's 1533-position model. The record is from RNAcentral.
AGAGUUUGAUCCUGGCUCAGGAUAAACGCUGGCGGCGUGCCUAACACAUGCAAGUCGAACGCCCUUGCGCAAGUAAGGGAGUGGCGGACGGGUGAGUAACACGUGGGGAUCUACCCAGAGGUGAGGAAUACCGGCGAGAAAUCGCCGACAACACCGCAUAGCCUUCCGAGAGGGAGGAAAGUCGCAAGACGCCUGUGGAU